GGAGUUAGCCGGUGCUUCUUCUGCGAGUAACGUCACAGAUGUAAGGUAUUAACUUACACCCUUUCCUCCUCGCUGAAAGUGCUUUACAACCCGAAGGCCUUCUUCACACACGCGGCAUGGCUGCAUCAGGGUUUCCCCCAUUGUGCAAUAUUCCCCACUGCUGCCUCCCGUAGGAGUCUGGGCCGUGUCUCAGUCCCAGUGUGGCUGAUCAUCCUCUCAGACCAGCUAGGGAUCGUCGCCUAGGUGAGCCUUUACCUCACCUACUAGCUAAUCCCACCUGGGCUUAUCCAUCAGCGCAAGGCCCGAAGGUCCCCUGCUUUCCCCCGUAGGGCGUAUGCGGUAUUAGCAGUCGUUUCCAACUGUUAUCCCCCACAAAUGGGCAAAUUCCCAGGCAUUACUCACCCGUCCGCCGCUCGUCAUCUUCAAAAGCAAGCUUUUGAAAUGUUACCGCUCGACUUGCAUGUGUUAGGCCUGCCGCCAGCGUUCAAUCUGAGCCAGAAUCAAACUCCUGA
This 512-nucleotide ribosomal RNA is filed under the name uncultured bacterium. RNAcentral describes it as "partial 16S ribosomal RNA". The record is from RNAcentral.